CCUACGGGAGGCAGCAGUGGGGAAUAUUGGACAAUGGGCGAAAGCCUGAUCCAGCCAUGCCGCGUGUGUGAAGAAGGCCUUCGGGUUGUAAAGCACUUUCAGUGGGGAAGAAAGCCUUGGGGCUAAUACCCUCGAGGAAGGACAUCACCCACAGAAGAAGCACCGGCUAACUCCGUGCCAGCAGCCGCGGUAAUACGGAGGGUGCGAGCGUUAAUCGGAAUUACUGGGCGUAAAGCGCGCGUAGGCGGUCUGAUAAGCCGGUUGUGAAAGCCCCGGGCUCAACCUGAGAACGGCAUCCGGAACUGUCAGGCUAGAGUGCAGGAGAGGAAGGUAGAAUUCCCGGUGUAGCGGUGAAAUGCGUAGAGAUCGGGAGGAAUACCAGUGGCGAAGGCGGCCUUCUGGACUGACACUGACGCUGAGGUGCGAAAGCGUGGGUAGCAAACAGGAUUAGAUACCCGAGUAGUC
RNAcentral lists this ribosomal RNA (465 nucleotides) under Vreelandella stevensii. RNAcentral's name for it is "partial 16S ribosomal RNA". It matches the Rfam family "Bacterial small subunit ribosomal RNA", at positions 338 to 795 of the family's 1533-position model. Lineage: Bacteria; Pseudomonadati; Pseudomonadota; Gammaproteobacteria; Oceanospirillales; Halomonadaceae. The record is from RNAcentral.